GGGUGCAUAGCUCAGUUGGUAGAGCAGCUGACUCUAAUCAGCGGGUCGUAGGUUCGAAUCCUACUGCACCCACCA
Molecule: transfer RNA, 75 nt
Filed under: Phenylobacterium glaciei
Lineage: Bacteria; Pseudomonadati; Pseudomonadota; Alphaproteobacteria; Caulobacterales; Caulobacteraceae
Description: Phenylobacterium sp. 20VBR1 tRNA-OTHER
Rfam family: tRNA
About the family: Transfer RNA (tRNA) molecules are approximately 80 nucleotides in length. Their secondary structure includes four short double-helical elements and three loops (D, anti-codon, and T loops). Further hydrogen bonds mediate the characteristic L-shaped molecular structure. tRNAs have two regions of fundamental functional importance: the anti-codon, which is responsible for specific mRNA codon recognition, and the 3' end, to which the tRNAs corresponding amino acid is attached (by aminoacyl-tRNA synthetases). tRNAs cope with the degeneracy of the genetic code in two manners: having more than one tRNA (with a specific anti-codon) for a particular amino acid; and 'wobble' base-pairing, i.e. permitting non-standard base-pairing at the 3rd anti-codon position.
Source: RNAcentral